AGUUGGUGGAUUGAUUUGUCUGGUUAAUUCCGACAACGAACGAGACCUUCGCCGUUUACUAGAGGACCUUUCUUCGGAUUGUAUUCUCUUCUCAACGGGACUUUGUGCGUCUAGUGCAAUGAAGCGAAGGCAAUAACAGGU
This 141-nucleotide ribosomal RNA is filed under the name uncultured eukaryote. Its description in RNAcentral is "partial small subunit ribosomal RNA". It matches the Rfam family "Eukaryotic small subunit ribosomal RNA", at positions 1296 to 1461 of the family's 1831-position model. The record is from RNAcentral.